Molecule: ribosomal RNA, 627 nt
Filed under: uncultured bacterium
Lineage: Bacteria
Description: bacterial SSU rRNA
Rfam family: Bacterial small subunit ribosomal RNA (bases 1-539)
Source: RNAcentral
CCUACGGGAGGCAGCAGUGGGGAAUAUUGGACAAUGGGCGGAAGCCUGAUCCAGCAACGCCGCGUGAGGGAUGACGGCCUUCGGGUUGUAAACCUCUUUCGCCUUUGACGAAGUUCCUGCUUUUUGGUGGGGGUGACGGUAGGGGGUAAAGAAGCACCGGCCAACUACGUGCCAGCAGCCGCGGUAAUACGUAGGGUGCGAGCGUUGUCCGGAAUUAUUGGGCGUAAAGGGCUCGUAGGCGGUUUGUCGCGUCAGUAGUGAAAGCCCGGGGCUUAACCCUGGGUCUGCUUCUGAUACGGGCAGACUAGAGGUAUGUAGGGGAGAACGGAAUUCCUGGUGUAGCGGUGAAAUGCGCAGAUAUCAGGAGGAACACCGGUGGCGAAGGCGGUUCUCUGGGCAUUACCUGACGCUGAGGAGCGAAAGUGUGGGGAGCGAACAGGAUUAGAUACCCUGGUAGUCCACACCGUAAACGUUGGGCGCUAGGUGUGGGAUCCAUUCCACGGGUUCCGUGCCGCAGCUAACGCAUUAAGCGCCCCGCCUGGGGGAGGUACGGCCGCGACGGACGUAAACUACAAAUAGAAUUAGACGGCGUGAGACGNGCCGAACGGACGACGACGAGGGAGUAGG